AUUGAACGCUGGCGGCAGGCUUAACACAUGCAAGUCGAGCGGGGGAAGGUAGCUUGCUACUGGACCUAGCGGCGGACGGGUGAGUAAUGCUUAGGAAUCUGCCUAUUAGUGGGGGACAGCAUCUCGAAAGGGAUGCUAAUACCGCAUACGUCCUACGGGAGAAAGCAGGGGACCUUCGGACCUUGCGCUAAUAGAUGAGCCUAAGUCGGAUUAGCUAGUUGGUGGGGUAAAGGCCUACCAAGGCGACGAUCUGUAGCGGGUCUGAGAGGAUGAUCCGCCACACUGGGACUGAGACACGGCCCAGACUCCUACGGGAGGUAGCAGUGGGGAAUAUUGGACAAUGGGGGGAACCCUGAUCCAGCCAUGCCGCGUGUGUGAAGAAGGCCUUAUGGUUGUAAAGCACUUUAAGCGAGGAGGAGGCUACUUUAGUUAAUACCUAGAGAUAGUGGACGUUACUCGCAGAAUAAGCACCGGCUAACUCUGUGCCAGCAGCCGCGGUAA
This 501-nucleotide ribosomal RNA is filed under the name uncultured bacterium. RNAcentral's name for it is "partial 16S ribosomal RNA". It matches the Rfam family "Bacterial small subunit ribosomal RNA", at positions 30 to 523 of the family's 1533-position model. The record is from RNAcentral.